This 251-nucleotide ribosomal RNA is filed under the name uncultured prokaryote. RNAcentral's name for it is "partial 16S rRNA". It matches the Rfam family "Bacterial small subunit ribosomal RNA", at positions 525 to 775 of the family's 1533-position model. The record is from RNAcentral.
ACGAAGGGGGCUAGCGUUGUUCGGAAUCACUGGGCGUAAAGCGUACGUAGGCGGAUAGUUAAGGAAGGGGGGAAAGAAGGGAGCACAACUCCAGAACUGCCUUUGAUACUGGCGAUCUUGAGUCCGGGAGAGGUGAGUGGAACUGCUAGUGUAGAGGUGAAAUUCGUAGAUAUUAGCAAGAACACCAGUGGCGAAGGCGGCUCACUGGCCCGGUACUGACGCUGAGGUACGAAAGCGUGGGGAGCAAACAG